ACAUAAGACAUGCAAGUCGAACGGAAGUCGUAUAUGAUUUGAGAGAACGAGAACUAGUCAAAGGGACAUGAUGAAGAUUAUAACAAUGGCUUAGUGGCGGACUGGUGAGUAAUACGUAAGCAACCUGCCUAUUAGAGGGGAACAACAGUUAGAAAUGACUGCUAAUACCGCAUAUGCCAUAGUAACCACAUGGUUACAGUGGGAAAGGAGCAAUCCGCUAAUAGAUGGGCUUACGGCUGAUUAGCUAGUUGGUGGGGUAACGGCCUACCAAGGCGACGAUCAGUAGCCGGACUGAGAGGUUCAACGGCCACAUUGGGACUGAGAUACGGCCCAGACUCCUACGGGAGGCAGCAGUCGGGAAUUUUGCGCAAUGGAGGAAACUCCUGACGCAGUGACGCCGCGUGCAGGAAGAAGGUUUUCGGAUUGUAAACUGCUUUAGACAGGGAAGAAAAAGGACAGUACCUGUAGAAUAAGCUCCGGCUAACUACGUGCCAGCAGCCGC
This 502-nucleotide ribosomal RNA is filed under the name uncultured bacterium. Its description in RNAcentral is "bacterial SSU rRNA". It matches the Rfam family "Bacterial small subunit ribosomal RNA", at positions 46 to 518 of the family's 1533-position model. The record is from RNAcentral.